Molecule: ribosomal RNA, 600 nt
Filed under: uncultured bacterium
Lineage: Bacteria
Description: bacterial SSU rRNA
Rfam family: Bacterial small subunit ribosomal RNA
Source: RNAcentral
GUAGUCCACGCCGUAAACGAUGAUUACUCGAUGUCGGCGAUAUAAUGUCGGUGUCUAAGCGAAAGUGUUAAGUAAUCCACCUGGGGAGUACGUUCGCAAGAAUGAAACUCAAAGGAAUUGACGGGGGCCCGCACAAGCGGUGGAGCAUGUGGUUUAAUUCGAUGAUACGCGAGGAACCUUACCUGGGCUUAAAUGCUAUUUGACAGAUCUGGAAACAGAUUUUUCUUCGGACAGAUUGCAAGGUGCUGCAUGGCUGUCGUCAGCUCGUGCUGUGAGGUGUCGGGUUAAGUCCCAUAACGAGCGCAACCCCUAUUCUUAGUUGCCAGCGAGUAAUGUCGGGGACUCUAAGGAGACUGCCGGUGCAAACCGUGAGGAAGGUGGGGAUGACGUCAAGUCAGCACGGCCCUUACGUCCAGGGCUACACACGUGCUACAAUGGCAGGUACAGAGGGCAGCUACAUAGCGAUAUGAUGCGAAUCUUCAAAGCCUGUCUCAGUUCGGAUCGGGGUCUGAAACUCGACCCCGUGAAGCUGGAAUCGCUAGUAAUCGGAUAUCAGCCAUGAUCCGGUGAAUACGUUCCCGGGCCUUGUACACUCCGCCC